AUUGAACGCUGGCGGCAUGCCUUACACAUGCAAGUCGAACGGUAACAGGUCUUCGGAUGCUGACGAGUGGCGAACGGGUGAGUAAUACAUCGGAACGUGCCUAGUAGUGGGGGAUAACUACUCGAAAGAGUGGCUAAUACCGCAUGAGAUCUACGGAUGAAAGCAGGGGAUCGCAAGACCUUGUGCUACUAGAGCGGCCGAUGGCAGAUUAGGUAGUUGGUGGGAUAAAAGCUUACCAAGCCGACGAUCUGUAGCUGGUCUGAGAGGACGAUCAGCCACACUGGGACUGAGACAGGGCCCAGACUCCUACGGGAGGCAGCAGUGGGGAAUUUUGGCCAAUGGGCGAAAGCCUGAUCCAGCAAUGCCGCGUGCAGGAUGAAGGCCUUCGGGUUGUGGACUGCUUUUGUACGGAACGAAAAGCCCCGGGUUAAUACCCUGGGGUCAUGACGGUACCGUAAGAAUAAGCACCGGCUAACUACGUGCCAGCAGCCGCGGUAA
Molecule: ribosomal RNA, 498 nt
Filed under: uncultured bacterium
Lineage: Bacteria
Description: partial 16S ribosomal RNA
Rfam family: Bacterial small subunit ribosomal RNA
Source: RNAcentral